Molecule: ribosomal RNA, 465 nt
Filed under: uncultured Klebsiella sp.
Lineage: Bacteria; Pseudomonadati; Pseudomonadota; Gammaproteobacteria; Enterobacterales; Enterobacteriaceae
Description: bacterial SSU rRNA
Rfam family: Bacterial small subunit ribosomal RNA
Source: RNAcentral
CCUACGGGUGGCAGCAGUGGGGAAUAUUGCACAAUGGGCGCAAGCCUGAUGCAGCCAUGCCGCGUGUGUGAAGAAGGCCUUCGGGUUGUAAAGCACUUUCAGCGGGGAGGAAGGCGGUGAGGUUAAUAACCUCAUCGAUUGACGUUACCCGCAGAAGAAGCACCGGCUAACUCCGUGCCAGCAGCCGCGGUAAUACGGAGGGUGCAAGCGUUAAUCGGAAUUACUGGGCGUAAAGCGCACGCAGGCGGUCUGCCAAGUCGGAUGUGAAAUCCCCGGGCUCAACCUGGGAACUGCAUUCGAAACUGGCAGGCUAGAGUCUUGUAGAGGGGGGUAGAAUUCCAGGUGUAGCGGUGAAAUGCGUAGAGAUCUGGAGGAAUACCGGUGGCGAAGGCGGCCCCCUGGACAAAGACUGACGCUCAGGUGCGAAAGCGUGGGGAGCAAACAGGAUUAGAUACCCGAGUAGUC